This 497-nucleotide ribosomal RNA is filed under the name uncultured bacterium. RNAcentral describes it as "partial 16S ribosomal RNA". It matches the Rfam family "Bacterial small subunit ribosomal RNA", at positions 28 to 507 of the family's 1533-position model. The record is from RNAcentral.
GAUGAACGCUGGCGGCGUGCCUAAUACAUGCAAGUCGAGCGAACAGACGAGGAGCUUGCUCCUCUGACGUUAGCGGCGGACGGGUGAGUAACACGUGGAUAACCUACCUAUAAGACUGGGAUAACUUCGGGAAACCGGAGCUAAUACCGGAUAAUAUAUUGAACCGCAUGGUUCAAUAGUGAAAGACGGUUUUGCUGUCACUUAUAGAUGGAUCCGCGCCGCAUUAGCUAGUUGGUAAGGUAACGGCUUACCAAGGCGACGAUGCGUAGCCGACCUGAGAGGGUGAUCGGCCACACUGGAACUGAGACACGGUCCAGACUCCUACGGGAGGCAGCAGUAGGGAAUCUUCCGCAAUAGGCGAAAGCCUGACGGAGCAACGCCGCGUGAGUGAUGAAGGUCUUCGGAUCGUAAAACUCUGUUAUUAGGGAAGAACAAAUGUGUAAGUAACUAUGCACGUCUUGACGGUACCUAAUCAGAAAGCCACGGCCAACUACGUG